RNAcentral lists this long non-coding RNA (771 nucleotides) under Nicotiana benthamiana. Its description in RNAcentral is "long non-coding RNA (NBEN_LNC037092)". Lineage: Eukaryota; Viridiplantae; Streptophyta; Magnoliopsida; Solanales; Solanaceae. The record is from RNAcentral.
GAAGCAUGGAAAGGACAUCAGCAAGGAUAACAGGGCUUUGGGAAAGCUCAGGAGAGAAGCUGAGCGUGCCAAGCGAGCACUGAGCAGUCAGCAUCAAGUCAGGGUUGAGAUUGAAUCUCUCUUCGAUGGUGUAGAUUUCUCUGAACCACUUACUCGGGCUCGUUUUGAGGAGCUGAACAACGAUUUAUUCAGGAAGACAAUGGGUCCUGUUAAGAAGGCUAUGGAGGAUGCUGGACUAGAAAAGAACCAGAUUGAUGAAAUUGUUUUGGUUGGUGGAAGUACCAGGAUUCCUAAAGUUCAACAGCUUUUGAAAGAUUAUUUUGAUGGCAAGGAGCCCAACAAGGGUGUCAACCCCGACGAAGCAGUUGCUUAUGGUGCAGCUGUACAAGGAGGAAUCUUGAGUGGAGAGGGAGGUGAUGAAACCAAAGGUACUGCUUCGUCCUGACUUAUUUCAGCCAUUUGAUAUUGGAGAGUUUUAUUUGGUAAAAAACUAACAUUUUCUUUUGAAUUUUAACCAGAUAUUCUUCUACUGGAUGUUGCUCCACUGACUCUUGGUAUUGAAACGGUUGGAGGAGUGAUGACAAAGUUGAUCCCAAGGAACACCGUUAUUCCUACUAAGAAAUCUCAAGUCUUCACCACUUACCAGGAUCAGCAGACAACAGUCACAAUUUCGGUAAAACUUCAGAGUAUUUUCCUAAUUAAAUGAAUGUGUUGUGCUAAACCCAAGAAGAUUAAUUAUUAUUUAUGGUUCUUCUGACUUGAAAUUUCUCA